CACAUCUGGGCGAUACUUCCUCGGAGGUUAAUCAGGCUGAUAUUGUACAGUCAGCCCGGCGCUUACUGCACUUACUAACAUCGGCUGAAAGACAGCGGGGCACAGCUAAUAGUGAUGUCACUAAUCACACUACAGGAGAACAGAGGCAGAACAGCCACAAUGACAGUUCAGUCAAUCGUUCUGCAAGACCAUCUCUUCAGAUGGAAAUGACAAGAUCCUUUCCAGGUAUGUUUUCCAAGGGCAGAGGAAAGCGACGCUUUCCUGCAGCAAAUUCAGUCCCUGCAAAGAAAAU
Molecule: long non-coding RNA, 292 nt
Organism: Melanotaenia boesemani (Boeseman's rainbowfish)
Lineage: Eukaryota; Metazoa; Chordata; Actinopteri; Atheriniformes; Melanotaeniidae
Exons: 4
Source: RefSeq, a predicted model, not a curated record